CCUACGGGGGGCAGCAGUGGGGAAUAUUGGACAAUGGGGGCAACCCUGAUCCAGCGACGCCGCGUGUGUGAAGAAGGCCUGCGGGUUGUAAAGCACUUUUAGUGGGGAGGAAGGUCUGCGACCUAACACGUCGUGGAAUUGACUUAACCCACAGAAAAAGCACCGGCUAACUCUGUGCCAGCAGCCGCGGUAAUACAGAGGGUGCAAGCGUUGCGCGGAAUGACCGGGGGCGAAGCGUGAAGAGGGAUGUGAAAGCCCCGGGCUCAACCUGGGAAUUGCAUUCGAGACUGCGAAGCUGGAGUGCGGAAGAGGGAAGUGGAAUUUCCGGUGUAGCGGUGAAAUGCGUAGAUAUCGGAAGGAACAUCAGUGGCGAAAGCGACUUCCUGGUCCAGCACUGACGCUCAGGCACGAAAGCGUGGGGAGCAAACAGGAUUAGAUACCCGAGUAGUC
Molecule: ribosomal RNA, 450 nt
Filed under: uncultured bacterium
Lineage: Bacteria
Description: partial 16S ribosomal RNA
Rfam family: Bacterial small subunit ribosomal RNA
Source: RNAcentral